UUCCUCUGGGUAAAGGAUAAUAAAUUUUUACUUAUUUGCCCAGGAACAAGGGUUCACAGUUCAGUGCCCAGUACACAUUCAGAUGGUCAAAAAUUUUAUCCAUCAUGCGCCAGGAACUAUUCUAGUCUGUAGUGAUAAAGUGGUCACAAAGGCAAAUGAAUUCUCUGCCAUGAAAGAAUUUACGUUAUAAGAAUAAUGUAGAUAUAAAAUAAUUCCGACCUGCUAAAGUAGUAUAAACAAAGUAUAUAAUGUUAUGUAAUGCACAAUGAUGGCAUGAUGGUGAUGGAGGUGACAAGUAGAGUUAGAGAAGGCCUCUCAGGGGAAAGCACUUCAAGUAAGAUCAAAAUACUGGAAAUGAGGCAUCCAUGAGAGAAAGUAGGGACAGAAAAAAUGACAAUUGCAAAACCCAAGAGACAUAAUGGAGCUGGGUUUAUUUAAGGAACAGGGAUCAUUAUGCCUGGAGUAUUGGCAAUGCAGGAAAUAUGGAGGAAGAAGUUAUAGAGGAAAGCAGGAACCCAAUCAUGUAUGGCCUCUGUAGCCUUUGGCAAGGAGUUUGAAUUUUAUCCUGAUUACAAUUGGAAGGCAGUAGAGGGAUGGAAAAAUAGAAAGAAGGAGCAAUAGAGCAAGAAAAGAGAAUGUAAGGGAGGGAAGGACUGGUUACCUUAACUCGGGCAUCACCAAAGACUGUUCCAGUUGCUAAGGUCAGAAUGAACAAGAGUUGUGAAACCAUGGAAACCUGGAACAGCAUGUGUUGUUUUCUAUUAAUAAAGUGAUUUUCCACAAUCACUCUUCAAGUGAAGGGAGAAUGGAUAAGAGGGCAUGUUAAAGGGCAGAUUUUUAAAGAGAACACACAGAGGGCUAUAAUUUUAGAACAGAGACUAAAAAUUAGAAUGAGACCUAAAGGUUUCUUUUAAGAAAAGAAAGAGAAAUAUGUUUGUAACAUAUAAAUCCUAAGAGAAAUGUAUGCUCAGAUAGGGCAAUACAUUCAGAACAGCUCUCAGAAGUUUGCACUUUUGGUUCUUCCAAAAACUGAAUCAUCAUAAACAUAGAAGUAACUGUUGCUAUGCCUCCUUGACAUUAGAUGUGGUCAUUUCCUGUCUGAGAUGAUUGCCAAGUAUGUACUUGCAUACAAGUUGGUCUUCCAACGGGAUGAAAAGGUAAAAAUGGCACCCAGCCUUUUAGAUAGAAUGAAUUGUUACACAUGGAAAACUACUCCUGAAAGAAACAAAGAGGUGAAUAUUUCCAAGGGAAACCAUCAUCAAGGGGCAAGGGUGUUAAAGAAUAUACUGAGAAGAAAUUGAGAAGGAAAGAUUUGCUCUUUUGGAACGUGAACAAUGAUAAUGCUCCAAGUGUCUCCUGGAAAGGGUUUGGCACACUUAGAAAAAUAAGGAAGAAUAAGAUUUGGUCUCUGCCAGAAAGUAUAUGUAAUCCAACUAAAGAGCUGUCAUGGAAACUACUAGCAUGAGUUGGAAACUAAAAUUGAAAGAGUCCUGGAUAGUGUGUUCCUGUAAGAUCAACUUGCCUCUGGAGAGCAAUAAUAAAAGACUGCAGAUGCAGUUGUUCAGGUCAUUACAAACUCUAGGAAAUUAACAGAAUUAAACAGGCCGAGGAUCUAUGAUUGAUACCAAAGAUAAUUUUCUGGAUACCCUGAUGGAAAACAGCUGAAAUAAUAGUAUUUCUAUCUUUUGCUAUGAAUCUUCUUAAGAUAAAGUGAACACACAGAGUUUGUAUGGAGACUGAAUGAUUUUAUUUCACAUAAAUAAAAGAAACAGAUUAAAGGAACUACCAAAAACCCUAAGAAGUUUGUACUCUUAAUAUCCCAUCUUACUGAUCACUAAAUUCUGCCUACAGAGUAGAAAGUUAAGAACCUGUCCAAGAUUCUCAACCCAGUCUAGGAGAAACUUUUAUCAGAUAUUAUACAAACAGGAUCUAGUGAUAAAAGAUAAACAAGUGACUCACAAUAUAAAGAGAUAACAAGAUACUAACAGAAAGUAGGAAGCUGACAAUAAAUAAGAAAAACUGUCGAACUUAUUCAAAAUGGUGGACUUGGCACAUGCUGUAGCCUUCCCUCUAAAAUAAGUCCACAGAAAUGUCUGGAAGGAGAUUUAUAAAACUUCCUUACCAUGCCAGAAAACAAGAAGAAUUUCUUUCAACAGAGUGUGAGAAAAUCCAAAGACUGAAAUCAAAAGAGAGGAGAUUAAACUAGAAAACUACAGUCCAAAAUGAAUUCAGGACUGGAUUGCCACAAAAGUUUCAUAUACUUGGCUCAGGAGAGAGCCCUGAGAAGAUUGUAGUCUAUUAAGUGUGCAAUAGCGUUAUAUCUAAAAAAUAAUGUUUAAACCUUAGCUUAAAAAGAAUUUAUUGCUGGGGCACCUGGGUGGCUCAGUCGGUUAAGCACCCAACUUUGACUCAGGUCAUGAUCUCACAGUUCGUGAGUUUAAGCCCCAUAUCAGGCUCUCUGCUGUCAGUACUGAGCCUGCUUCAGAUCCUCUGUCCCCCUCUCUCUCUGCCCCUCAUCUGAUCUCUCUGUCUCAAAAAUAAACAUUUAAAAAAUAAUCUAUUGGUAAUUUUUCAAUGUAUCCUAAUCAUUGCUCAUAGAUCACCAUAACAAAUAUAAGUUUGAAAUAGUGCAAGAAUUAGCAAAAUGUGACUGACACAAUGUGAGCAAAUGCUGUUGAAAAAAAUGGCAUCAAUAGAUCGUUCAAUGCAGGGUUGCCACAAACUUUCAGUGUUGUUGUAAAACAAAACAACAAAAAUGCAGUAUCUGCAAAGCACGAUUAAGUGAAACAGAAUAAAAUAAGGUAUGUCUAUACAGGGAAGCUACUAGUAGAUCUUACAUUCAAAGAUGAAUACGUAACCAAAAUUACCAAUCAUUUGAAAAAGGUGAAUACUUGAAAGAAAAGACAUCAAGCACAACACAGAGAAGAGAUUUGCACAUUCAGAAAACAGUAUAAUUCAUUUCUGGAGUGACCUGAGAAGAUGUUGCAGCCAUGCUUAAAGUUAGCUAGAUGUUUGCUAAACUAAACAUAAGAUAGAUGAAAUAAAAAAAA
Molecule: long non-coding RNA, 3050 nt
Organism: Neofelis nebulosa (Clouded leopard)
Lineage: Eukaryota; Metazoa; Chordata; Mammalia; Carnivora; Felidae
Exons: 3
Source: RefSeq, a predicted model, not a curated record